UACGAAGGGGGCUAGCGUUGUUCGGAAUUACUGGGCGUAAAGCGCAUGUAGGCGGCGAUUCAAGUCGGGGGUGAAAUCCCAGGGCUCAACCCUGGAACUGCCUUCGAUACUGUUUUGCUUGAGUGUGGAAGAGGUUGGUGGAACUGCAAGUGUAGAGGUGAAAUUCGUAGAUAUUUGCAAGAACACCGGUGGCGAAGGCGGCCAACUGGUCCAUUACUGACGCUGAGAUGCGAAAGCGUGGGGAGCAAACAGG
This 253-nucleotide ribosomal RNA is filed under the name uncultured bacterium. RNAcentral describes it as "partial 16S ribosomal RNA". It matches the Rfam family "Bacterial small subunit ribosomal RNA", at positions 524 to 776 of the family's 1533-position model. The record is from RNAcentral.